AUGAACGCUGGCGGCGUGCUUAACACAUGCAAGUCGAACGGAAAGGCCCUGCUUGCAGGGUACUCGAGUGGCGAACGGGUGCGUAACACGUGGGUGAUCUGCCCUGCACUUCGGGAUAAGCCUGGGAAACUGGGUCUAAUACCGGAUAGGAGCCAUUUUUAGUGUGAUGGUUGGAAAGUUUUUUCGGUGUAGGAUGAGCUCGCGGCCUAUCAGCUUGUUGGUGGGGUAAUGGCCUACCAAGGCGGCGACGGGUAGCCGGCCUGAGAGGGUGGACGACCACAUUGGGACUGAGAUACGGCCCAGACUCCUACGGGAGGCAGCAGUGGGGAAUAUUGCACAAUGGGCGCAAGCCUGAUGCAGCGACGCCGCGUGGGGGAUGACGGCCUUCGGGUUGUAAACUCCUUUCGCUAGGGACGAAGCUUUUGUGACGGUACCUAGAUAAGAAGCACCGGCUAACUACGUG
This 463-nucleotide ribosomal RNA is filed under the name uncultured bacterium. Its description in RNAcentral is "partial 16S ribosomal RNA". It matches the Rfam family "Bacterial small subunit ribosomal RNA", at positions 29 to 507 of the family's 1533-position model. The record is from RNAcentral.